Gadus morhua (Atlantic cod) is the source of this 75-nucleotide non-coding RNA. NCBI's taxonomy places the organism in Eukaryota, Metazoa, Chordata, Actinopteri, Gadiformes, Gadidae. The record is from the annotation of a RefSeq genome assembly.
ACCAGGAUGGCAGAGUGGUUAAGGCGUUGGACUUAAGAUCCAUUGGACAUGUAGGUUCGAACCCUACUCCUGGUA